UACAGUGCUACUGGCCCAUAAUCAGGCAACUGCAGAGUCUUAGGGGGUUAUCUAAUGUAGUCUUGGGGUGGCUGGAUAGACUUCCCAAAGAAGGUGAUGCCGAAGCUGAGGUCGGAAAUUACGAAGAUCAGCUAUGAAGGCCUGAGGAGAGAAGACACAUAGUCAUGCUGACUAAACCAGAUCACCUAGAAUUACCAAAUGGAAAGAUUGUGCCUGCAGCCUGGCCUGUUGCCCACAGCGGUCUACCUGCCACACUGGGAAAGAUCGAGCAGAGACAGAGAAGAAAAGGAGGCUCCAUUUUUCAGGCUGCUCUCCCGCAGGCUCAUGUUUUGUGUUCAUGCCAGGCAGAGAACACAAAAUGUUCCAAUAAAUAAGUAUCAAAGGUUAGUGGUGAAAAUGAAGGAGGAGGAGGCAUUGCGUGAAAAACUAAACAUGCAAAAUAUUACACACAAAGAGAACCAAAAUGCAGGUUCACUGGAAAUGAUAGACAAUAUGUUAAAACAAGAGGAGAGAAGAGAGCUGAAAUAAUCAAAUGGAAACACACAAUUUAGGGCUAAGAUCUUGUUGUGUUCAGCCACAAAUGAUGGCCAGCAGUGAGGAAUCUGUGUGUUCUCCACACUCUUCGCUCCUGGGAAGUCAACUCACAUGGACCAUGAUAUCAAUAUCUGCUCCUUCCCCUAAUAUCUGUUUGACCUUGGGUCAGUUACUUAAACUUCCUAAGCCUUAGUUUCUUUGUCUGGAAAAUAGGGAUAGUUAUACCUACCACACAACCACUUUGUAAUGAAUAUGUUGGAAAUUAUAUGCAAAUUGGCUUCCGUUGGUGUUUGGAACAUAGUAGGUUUUUAACUGGAAUAUAAUAGCUACCAUUAUCAGUAUCAUCAUAUUAAUUUAUAUUUCCAUCUUCAGCCCUUAACCCAGGAUCUUCAGUAAAUGUUGAAUUCUCAAAUUUGUUAAAUUCACUUGUCUAUACUAAUAUUUUACUCUAGGUUUCUUAGAAUAUUCUAGAUAAUAUUAUUAUGUAGAAUAUGUUAUGUAAGCUUCAUCUUAUCUGUAAAUAUAGUUUUACUUUUUCCUUUCUAAUUUUUAUGUCGAUUACUUCUUUUUCUUGGCUUAUUGAAUUGGCUAGGAUUCCCGUACAGUGUUGAAUACGUGCAGCAAGACUGCACAUCUUGCCUUGUUCCUGGUCCCACAGAGAGAAUAUCCAGUACUUCACAAUAAGUAUGUGUUAAUUGUAGAUUUUAUUAGAUUGAGGAAGUUCCCUUUCCUUUCAAGUCAGUCUUUUUAUUUUAAACAUGUAUUGAAGUUUUGUCAAAUGUCUUCAUCUAUUGGAAUAAUUAUACAUAUCUCUUUUUUAUUCUGUUAAUAUUACAUUUCAAUCUUCUGUCUACCUAAAAUCCCUAGAAUAAUCUCCAUUUGGCUAUGAUGUGUUGUGCUUUUAUAUAUUACUGAAUUCUAUAUGCCAAUAUUAUUAAAAUUUUCUGUCUUUA
RNAcentral lists this long non-coding RNA (1487 nucleotides) under Homo sapiens (human). RNAcentral's name for it is "CCDC26 long non-coding RNA". Lineage: Eukaryota; Metazoa; Chordata; Mammalia; Primates; Hominidae. The record is from RNAcentral.